This 255-nucleotide ribosomal RNA is filed under the name Klebsiella pneumoniae. Its description in RNAcentral is "partial 16S ribosomal RNA". It matches the Rfam family "Bacterial small subunit ribosomal RNA", at positions 332 to 579 of the family's 1533-position model. Lineage: Bacteria; Pseudomonadati; Pseudomonadota; Gammaproteobacteria; Enterobacterales; Enterobacteriaceae. The record is from RNAcentral.
CAGACUCCUACGGGAGGCAGCAGUGGGGAAUAUUGCACAAUGGGCGCAAGCCUGAUGCAGCCAUGCCGCGUGUGUGAAGAAGGCCUUCGGGUUGUAAAGCACUUUCAGCGGGGAGGAAGGCGGUGAGAUUAAUAACCUCAUCGAUUGACGUUACCCGCAGAAGAAGCACCGGCUAACUCCGUGCCAGCAGCCGCGGUAAUACGGAGGGUGCAAGCGUUAAUCGGAAUUACUGGGCGUAAAGCGCACGCAGGCGGU